CCUGAUUAAACAUAAGAGGUCCAGCCUGCCCAGUGAUAACAUUCAACGGCCGCGGUAUUCUGACCGUGCGAAGGUAGCAUAAUCACUUGUUCUCUAAAUAAGGACUAGUAUCAACGGCAUCACGAGGGCUAUACUGUCUCCCCCCUCCAAUCAGUGAAACUGAUCCCCCCGUGAAGAAGCGGGGAUUUAAUUAUAAGACGAGAAGACCCCAUGGAGCUUUAAACCUAACAUACACCCCCUCGCUAAGAUAUCAGCUAAGCCUAGAGGGCCUGUGCGUUGGUCUUAGGCUGGGGGGACCACGGAGCAAAAUCAAACCUCCAUAACAAAUGGGCUAAAACCCUUAUCCACGAUUUACAAAUCCAAGAAUCAUCAAAAUGAUGUUUAAUGACCCGAUAAUUCGAUCAAUGAACC
RNAcentral lists this ribosomal RNA (411 nucleotides) under Odorrana graminea (large odorous frog). RNAcentral describes it as "partial 16S ribosomal RNA". It matches the Rfam family "Bacterial large subunit ribosomal RNA", at positions 1834 to 2458 of the family's 2925-position model. Lineage: Eukaryota; Metazoa; Chordata; Amphibia; Anura; Ranidae. The record is from RNAcentral.